Molecule: ribosomal RNA, 173 nt
Filed under: Alvinella pompejana symbiont APG1Bstab3
Lineage: Bacteria; Pseudomonadati; Campylobacterota
Description: partial 16S ribosomal RNA
Rfam family: Bacterial small subunit ribosomal RNA
Source: RNAcentral
CUCCUACGGGAGGCAGCAGGGGGGAAUAUUGCACAAUGGGGGAAACCCUGAUGCAGCAACGCCGCGUGGAGGAAGAAAGCCCUUAGGGGCGUAAACUCCUUUUAUAGUCGAAGAAAAUGACGGUAGACGAUGAAUAAGCACCGGCUAACUCCGUGCCAGCAGCCGCGGUAAUA